UACGAAGGGGGCUAGCGUUGCUCGGAAUCACUGGGCGUAAAGCGCACGUAGGCGGCUUGUUAAGUCAGGGGUGAAAUCCUGGAGCUCAACUCCAGAACUGCCUUUGAUACUGAUAAGCUUGAGUCCGGGAGAGGUGAGUGGAACUGCGAGUGUAGAGGUGAAAUUCGUAGAUAUUCGCAAGAACACCAGUGGCGAAGGCGGCUCACUGGCCCGGUACUGACGCUGAGGUGCGAAAGCGUGGGGAGCAAACAGG
Molecule: ribosomal RNA, 253 nt
Filed under: uncultured bacterium
Lineage: Bacteria
Description: partial 16S ribosomal RNA
Rfam family: Bacterial small subunit ribosomal RNA
Source: RNAcentral